AGGUCAAGCUACAAAGGGCGCAUGGUGAAUGCCUUGGCAUCAGGAGCCGAUGAAGGACGUGAUAAGCUGCGAUAAGCUUCGGGUAGGCGCACAUAGCCUGAGAUCCGAAGAUCUCCGAAUGAGGAAACUCACAUGGGAAACCCCAUGUAUCAUUAAGUGAAUACAUAGCUUAAUGAAGGUAACCCAGGGAACUGAAACAUCUAAGUACCUGGAGGAAGAGAAAGAAAAAUCGAUUUUCUUAGUAGCGGCGAGCGAAAGGGAAAGAGCCCAAACCGGAAACUUGUUUCCGGGGUUGUGGACAUAACAUAAAAGUGGAGGCUAUUGUAACUGAAGAGAACUGGAAAGUUCCACCGUAGAAGGUAAUAGUCCUGUAAGUGAAACGAGAAGACCACGAGUUAUGAUCCAGAGUACCACGAGACACGUGAAACCUUGUGGGAAGCAGGGAGGACCACCUCCCAAGGCUAAAUACUACCUGAUGACCGAUAGUGAAGCAGUACCGUGAGGGAAAGGUGAAAAGAACCCCGGGAGGGGAGUGAAAUAGAACCUGAAACCGUGUGCCUACAACCGCUCAGAGCCCCUUAUGAGGGUGAUGAGGUGCUUUUUGUAGAACGAGCCAACGAGUUACGGUAUGUAGCAAGGUUAAGUACUUAAGGUACGGAGCCGAAGGGAAACCGAGUCUGAAUAGGGCGACUAGUUGCAUGCCGUAGACCCGAAACCGGGUGACCUAUCCAUGGCCAGGUUGAAGCGAGGGUAAAACCUCGUGGAGGACCGAACCACGUUGCUGUUGAAAAAGCAUGGGAUGAGCUGUGGAUAGCGGAGAAAUUCCAAUCGAACCCGGAGAUAGCUGGUUCUCUCCGAAAUAGCUUUAGGGCUAGCGUCGAGUAUGAGUAGUGGAGGUAGAGCACUGAAUGGGCUAGGGGGCAUAGCGCUUACCGAACCUUAUCAAACUCCGAAUGCCACAUACUUUGAGCUCGGCAGUCAGACUACGAAUGAUAAGAUCCGUGGUCAAAAGGGAAACAGCCCAGAUCGUCAGCUAAGGUCCCAAAGUGUAAGUUAAGUGGGAAAGGAUGUGAGAUUUCUAAGACAACUAGGAUGUUGGCUUAGAAGCAGCCAUUCAUUAAAAGAGUGCGUAAUAGCUCACUAGUCGAGAGAUCUUGCGCCGAAAAUGUAACGGGGCUAAACUUACCACCGAAGCUACGGGCUUGAACAUAGUUCAAGCGGUAGGAGAGCGUCGUAACCGGGCUGAAGUCGUACCGUAAGGAGCGGUGGACUGGUUACGAGUGAGAAUGUUGGCAUCAGUAGCGAGAUGUGGGUGAGAAUCCCACAGGCCGAAAACCUAAGGUUUCCUCAGGAAGGUUCGUCCGCUGAGGGUUAGUCGGGACCUAAGCCGAGGCCGAAAGGCGUAGGUGAUGGACAACUGGUUGAUAUUCCAGUACCACUACCAUCGUUAUUAUCGAUGGCGUGACGCAGGAGGAUAGUGUGUGCUAGCUAUUGGAUGCUAGUCUAAGCGUUUAGGCAGUGAGAGUAGGCAAAUCCGCUCUCAUAAUGCUGAGGCGUGAUGGGGAAGGUUC
This 1571-nucleotide ribosomal RNA is filed under the name Clostridium perfringens. RNAcentral describes it as "partial 23S ribosomal RNA". It matches the Rfam family "Bacterial large subunit ribosomal RNA", at positions 1 to 1578 of the family's 2925-position model. The record is from RNAcentral. Lineage: Bacteria; Bacillati; Bacillota; Clostridia; Eubacteriales; Clostridiaceae.